This 320-nucleotide long non-coding RNA is filed under the name Setaria viridis. Its description in RNAcentral is "long non-coding RNA (SVIR_LNC011069)". Lineage: Eukaryota; Viridiplantae; Streptophyta; Magnoliopsida; Poales; Poaceae. The record is from RNAcentral.
UCGUUUACCAGAAAUUCGUGUAAGAGUGCGAAAAAUGAGAAAUGAUAUUUUUCCUGAAACCAUGCCAUUUUAGAAAAACAGGGUUGGACGGCCAUGGGAGAGCGAGGUCGAGGAAAUAUGGAUGUGGGUAUGGAAGGUGUACAGGAAAUAUGGUCUGAGCAACCUGUCCAACCCAACCAAACCAAAUCAGCCCAAGCUUUAUUUAGAACAGAGGGAUGUCAAAACCGUUGCUGUUUGCCGUGGUGCGCUACGCGAGUCCCACUGGGGUGUUGUGCACGGUCGACAACAUCGCUAGAACAGAGGGGCCGGAGUUGCCGAGU